UACGUAGGGUGCAAGCGUUGUCCGGAAUUAUUGGGCGUAAAGGGCUCGUAGGCGGUCUGUCGCGUCUGCUGUGAAAAUCCAGGGCUCAACCCUGGACCUGCAGUGGGUACGGGCAGACUAGAGUGCGGUAGGGGAGAUCGGAAUUCCUGGUGUAGCGGUGAAAUGCGCAGAUAUCAGGAGGAACACCGGUGGCGAAGGCGGAUCUCUGGGCCGUAACUGACGCUGAGGAGCGAAAGCAUGGGGAGCGAACAGG
This 253-nucleotide ribosomal RNA is filed under the name uncultured bacterium. Its description in RNAcentral is "partial 16S ribosomal RNA". It matches the Rfam family "Bacterial small subunit ribosomal RNA", at positions 524 to 776 of the family's 1533-position model. The record is from RNAcentral.